UCCGGACAGUGAACAUCCAAGAAGAAUUUAAAUAUAAGCGUUGAAAACUUAUGUGGGUGAAACGCUAGAAUUGACUGGAGUUCUUCGACAAGAAAUGGGCACUUGUCUUUGCAUAGACAGCAACAAUGUGCCUCCGACAGUCAGCAAACGUUACUCUGUACAAGUUCACUGUAAACAAAAUAAAAACCUGCCAAGCACUGUGGCGGCACGGGCCACGGAACUUUUCAACGGCUCCGGAUGCAAAGCGCGACGCCGCCAAAGCGCAACACCGACGUGCCCAAUGUACCAUCGAUAUCUUCACACUCCUUCCGCCGAAUUCUCGGAAGAGCAUACACGUGCC
Bombus huntii is the source of this 340-nucleotide long non-coding RNA. RefSeq lists it as uncharacterized. Lineage: Eukaryota; Metazoa; Arthropoda; Insecta; Hymenoptera; Apidae. The transcript is spliced from 3 exons. The record is from RefSeq and is a predicted model, not a curated record.